Molecule: long non-coding RNA, 995 nt
Organism: Pogoniulus pusillus (Red-fronted tinkerbird)
Lineage: Eukaryota; Metazoa; Chordata; Aves; Piciformes; Lybiidae
Exons: 3
Source: RefSeq, a predicted model, not a curated record
CCUUUCUUUGCAUGGGGGCGAACGAAUUCGCUCCAAAUGCCGAUGGAGAAGUCCAGCGCUGAUCCCACAGGAGCCUGGCCUGGCAGGGAUAAAUUCUGGCUUCAUCCUACACUGAUUUAGCCCACAGAUUUGUGGGAGGAAACCGAAGCCGCUUUGCCAGGGCUUGGGAGAUGAAAUGGCUCCAGCUCCUGACCGCUGCCUUCCACUCCUAUCUAUCUCCAGCAGCCCUGGGAACAUUGCACUGCACGGGCAGCCGGCGGCAGGGGACAGGUGCCAUGGCUGCCUGGGUCAAAUCCCUUGGGAUGAAGCAGGGCCAACCCGAUGCUCCUUCCUGCCAUCACCACCCGGAUGGUUUGGCACAGGGCAGAAAGGAAAACAGAAAAGGAGAAACCCCACAUUUUUUCAGCUGAAACCACUGAUUCAUCCCAUGGAACUGCCCUGCCUCUCACCCAGCCCCUCCCAGCCAGGGCUGCCCUUCAACCAGACCUUUGCCAAGGCUUUUCCCAGAGCUGCUGGCAUGGUCGUUCCUGUCACCGUGAGGUGAGUGGGAGCACCUCCUGCUUUGAAGCCCCCCAGAGAGUCCUGACCUCAAGGGCUUCCCGCAACCACGUGGGGCAAGAGCCCACCCUUCCUUCCCGCAAGCUUUUCCCACGCUGGGCAGAAAGCAGGACACGGAGGGAUGAUUCACCAUCAUCAUCGUCAUCACCUCCUGAAUCCUUGUGGGGACGGCAUCAACCUCUCGGGUGCCCAAGCCCCCAGCACGGAGGAAGGCCAGGAGGAGAGGGGGCCACAGGAUGUGUAUGGGAGAGAGGAGGGAAUUGUCAGCAAGGAGAUGAUUAAAAAUAUCCACCCUAUUUCUGGCCGGCACCAGGCCGGGAUCUGGGAAGAGCUGUUGGCAAAAGGGAGCCGUGUCGGAGCCGCUCCCAGCGCUGUUCUUUCCGUGCCGGCCACCUUCCUCUCGCUGACACACAGACAGGAAAGCCUUGAGAGGGAGG